Molecule: ribosomal RNA, 253 nt
Filed under: uncultured bacterium
Lineage: Bacteria
Description: partial 16S ribosomal RNA
Rfam family: Bacterial small subunit ribosomal RNA
Source: RNAcentral
UACGUAGGGGGCAAGCGUUGUCCGGAUUUAUUGGGCGUAAAGAGCGUGUAGGCGGCCAGGGAGGUCCGUUGUGAAAACUCGAGGCUCAACCUCGAGACGUCGGUUGAAACCGUAAGGCUAGAGUCCGGAAGAGGAGAGUGGAAUUCCCGGUGUAGCGGUGAAAUGCGCAGAUAUCGGGAAGAACACCCGUGGCGAAGGCGGCUCUCUGGGACGGUACUGACGCUGAGACGCGAAAGCGUGGGGAGCGAACAGG